Molecule: ribosomal RNA, 318 nt
Filed under: Alexandrium margalefii
Lineage: Eukaryota; Dinophyceae; Gonyaulacales; Pyrocystaceae
Description: partial Bacterial large subunit ribosomal RNA
Rfam family: Bacterial large subunit ribosomal RNA
Source: RNAcentral
UAAGGAGGUUCAGUUGCUUAGACAGCCAGGAUGUUGGCUUGGAAGCAGCCAUUCAUUUAAAGAGUGCGUAACAGCUCACUGGUCGAGCGGUUCCGCAUGGAUAAUAAUCGGGCAUAAGCAUAUCACCGAAGCCGUGACUUUGUAUUUAUACAAGGGGUAGGGGAGCAUUGUAACUGCGCUGAAGGCGUACCUGCGAGGGAUGCUGGAGCGGUUACAAACGAAAAUGUAGGCAUAAGUAACGAUAAUGCGGGCGAGAAACCCGCACGCCGAAAGACCAAGGUUUCCCCAGCUAUGCUAAUCAGCUGGGGGUCAGUCGGG